RNAcentral lists this ribosomal RNA (227 nucleotides) under uncultured bacterium. Its description in RNAcentral is "partial 16S ribosomal RNA". It matches the Rfam family "Bacterial small subunit ribosomal RNA", at positions 15 to 219 of the family's 1533-position model. The record is from RNAcentral.
GAUCAUGGCUCAGGAUGAACGCUGGCGGCGUGCUUAACACAUGCAAGUCGAGCGAAGCACUUUACUUGGAUUUCUUCGGAAUGACGAGUAUUGUGACUGAGCGGCGGACGGGUGAAGGUAACGCGUGGGUAACCUGCCUCAUACAGGGGGAUAACAGUUAGAAAUGACUGCUAAUACCGCAUAAGACCACAGCACCGCAUGGUGCAGAGGUAAAAAACUCCGGUGGU